Molecule: non-coding RNA, 666 nt
Organism: Tetranychus urticae (two-spotted spider mite)
Lineage: Eukaryota; Metazoa; Arthropoda; Arachnida; Trombidiformes; Tetranychidae
Source: RefSeq, a predicted model, not a curated record
GCUGUUCAUACGAUUCCCGAUUACCUUGAAUUGUAAACUAAUUGACAAUCUGUUGUACGAGGAAGCAAUGCCAAAUUGAAUGGCAAUCAAAACGACCAUUCUCGGAUGAAAAAUAAAUGUGUUCAUCUUUGGAAAAGAAAUCUGCUUAUUCUGUGUUUCAUGUCAAGUUGAUUGUUCAAUAGUCUAACUAAAUCAUAUCUGGUGGUCUGAUUAUCGGUGCUCAAACGAUUCUCACAAUUCUUGAUUCAAUCACCUCACCUUUCAAGAGUCGAACCUAAAUCCAACUCUUUUUAUAUCAAUGGGGCAAAUCGUACAUUAGAGUGGUUUCCUGGCUUGUCGAUGCAUUCCUAUCAGUAUAAUAUUAUAAAUAGAUUUUUGCAUCUCAACAUUUUUCUUUAACAAUCAUUGGAUAUCCUUAGGCUUUAAUCUUUCCAUCUCUUCAGAACAAGGAAACGAUAAAACUCCAAUCAAUGCUGUUGAAAACUUAAAUUCAUGACUCUUGCUUACCAAUUGGACAUUGAAAUUGAAGAGUGUUUCUAUGAUGACAACAACUCAGGUUAAACAAGAAACUGAACUCACAUAACAUUAUUAAUAAUGUAUCACUAAUCAAUUGUUUUUCCCUAUUUAUUAUCUUAGCUGGAGUAACAAUCAGUAACUAACCCUUUA